This 250-nucleotide ribosomal RNA is filed under the name uncultured bacterium. Its description in RNAcentral is "partial 16S ribosomal RNA". It matches the Rfam family "Bacterial small subunit ribosomal RNA", at positions 524 to 773 of the family's 1533-position model. The record is from RNAcentral.
GACGGAGGGGGCGAGCGUUGUUCGGAAUUACUGGGCGUAAAGGGCGCGUAGGCGGUCAUGCAAGUCGGUGGUGAAAGCCCACGGCUCAACCGUGGAAUUGCCUUCGAAACUGCAUGACUUGAGUACGGAAGAGGAGAGCGGAAUUCCCAGUGUAGCGGUGAAAUGCGUAGAUAUUGGGAGGAACACCGGUGGCGAAGGCGGCUCUCUGGUCCGAAACUGACGCUGAGGCGCGAAAGCUAGGGUAGCAAAC